Molecule: long non-coding RNA, 967 nt
Filed under: Anser cygnoides (Swan goose)
Lineage: Eukaryota; Metazoa; Chordata; Aves; Anseriformes; Anatidae
Description: lncRNA (ENSACDG00005014849.1)
Source: RNAcentral
ACCAUGUUCCAGCAUGCUCUACCCACCAUGUUAAGUACUGGUGGGACAUUCACUAAUCUUAAAACUCUUGUAUUUUAUUUCCUUGGGACAUCCUACAUAUGUGCCAAAAAGUUCUUUCCACUAAACCCUUGGGGAUUAUGCAAAAGCAGUAGGACUGAGUCCUACGGCCUUUGGGGCAAUCCUUUGACUAAAAUACUCAGAGCACCUUGACAAGUAUUGGCAAUACAUGGAUCUGCUGCACCUCAUGGUUAAACAGAUGAGCUCCUGUAUUAAGUCAUUUCCUUGGAUACAGGAAAUCUAAGGUAGAGUAAGCCGUAUCUGAGGCAAACUAGCAAAUCAUAAUUGAAUCUAGUUCAUGACCAUGACACUGGAAUACUUAGAAACUAAAUUGGGAAACUACUAGGAUAAUAGUUGAAUCAAAACUCUUCUGAGUUUCCACCAAAAACUUAGUUUUAUUUGUUUUACUUAUGAAACAGUAAACCAGGUCCUAGUUUUAUUAUCUGCCCUUCAUCAAGACUGAGUGCCUGAGCAAUAGUGCCUGACUUUAAAAGUAGCCAUUGUGACAUGUACAAAUUUGUCGCGUGAUACCAACUUUUUAUAAAUACCUGGAUGAGACAAGGGUCUAGGAUCAGGACAAGUCAUGGGCAUCAAAAGACCUUCUUUCCUGGAAGCAUUUUGGCUCUGGGUAGACACGAGCACCACCAGCUCUUUGAGGGAGAUACAUUUGCAACGUGAGAGGGGAAGAUCAGGAGUUGCAGAAAGGCAACUGAGCUCCCCAGGCAGGACAGCUCUGCUGAGUCGUGAAAGACAAGGGCAGCUAACUCCUGCUGAGCUUGUGACCAUGCUGGCAACAUAUUUUCUCCAGAGCUGGAUGGGAACAGUGAACUAAGAUAAAAUUCUAAGCUAAUUGGAUCAGGCUCUAAAAAUCACUAAUAAAGCACAGUGCGCAGCCUCUUAUUGGAUUAUU